UCCGGUUCAUCACCGGCAGUCUCCUUAGAGUCCCCAACUUUACUUGCUGGCAACUAAGGACAAGGGUUGCGCUCGUUACGGGACUUAACCCAACAUCUCACAACACGAGCUGACGACAGCCAUGCAGCACCUGUCUCUGCGCUCCCUUGCGGGCACUCCCACUUCUCAGCAGGAUUCGCAGGAUGUCAAGGGUAGGUAAGGUUCUUCGCGUUGCAUCGAAUUAAACCACAUGCUCCACCGCUUGUGCGGGCCCCCGUCAAUUCCUUUGAGUUUCAACCUUGCGGCCGUACUUCCCAGGCGGAAGACUUAUCGCGUUAGCUUCGAUACCGAUUGGUUCCCCAACCAACAUCUAGUCUUCAUCGUUUACAGCGUGGACUAC
Molecule: unclassified non-coding RNA, 379 nt
Filed under: uncultured Gammaproteobacteria bacterium
Lineage: Bacteria; Pseudomonadati; Pseudomonadota; Gammaproteobacteria
Description: contains 16S-23S intergenic spacer region
Source: RNAcentral